GACGAACGCUGGCGGCGUGCCUAAUACAUGCAAGUCGAGCGGAACUGGGGGAGCUUGCUCCUUCCAGUUUAGCGGCGGACGGGUGAGUAACACGUGGGCAACCUGCCCUGCAGAUCGGGAUAACUCCGGGAAACCGGUGCUAAUACCGAAUAGUUUGGCGCCUCUCCUGAGGCGCUACGGAAAGACGGUUUCGGCUGUCACUGCAGGAUGGGCCCGCGGCGCAUUAGCUAGUUGGGGGGGUAAAGGCCCACCACGGCGACGAUGCGUAGCCGAGCUGAGAGGGUGACCGGCCACGCUGGGACUGAGACACGGCCCAGACUCCUACGGGAGGCAGAGGUAGGGAAUCUUCCGCAAUGGACGCAAGUCUGACGGAGCAACGCCGCGUGAGUGACGAAGGUUUUCGGAUCGUAAAACUCUGUUGUGAGGGAAGAACACGUACCAACUAACUAUUGGUACCUUGACGGUACCUCACCAGAAAGCCACGGCUAACUACGUGCCAGCCGCCGCGGUAA
RNAcentral lists this ribosomal RNA (512 nucleotides) under uncultured bacterium. Its description in RNAcentral is "partial 16S ribosomal RNA". It matches the Rfam family "Bacterial small subunit ribosomal RNA", at positions 28 to 523 of the family's 1533-position model. The record is from RNAcentral.